This 1247-nucleotide long non-coding RNA is filed under the name Fukomys damarensis (Damara mole-rat). RNAcentral describes it as "lncRNA (ENSFDAG00000029395.1)". The record is from RNAcentral. Lineage: Eukaryota; Metazoa; Chordata; Mammalia; Rodentia; Bathyergidae.
CCAACACAGGGCGGCAACAGUGCAGGCACUUGGGAGAUGUUUGAUAAAGAACAAAGCCAGGCAUAUACCUGUAAUCCCAGCUACUUGGGCAGCCGAGGAGGAAGAAUCACAAGUUCAAGGGCAGCCUGGGUUAGAGAGAACCUGUCGGAGCUGACAAACAACCAGACUGAAGCCUUACUGAACACUCUCACAGGACCAACAUCGAGCUGGAUGCAGCGACACCAAGACGAGCGACAGAGCGGCAGAACCAUCUUGUGAAUAUCCCACCUGAGAAGUCUUGGGGCAGAAAUACACACACUUACAUAAGAAAUCAAACUUUGGAAAUGUACAACUUUGACAAGGCACAGCGAGCACACCUCUGCGACCCUGACCCAUGUAGACAAAGGAGAGCAAUGUCUCUGUGGCAAACUGAGUGACUUUUCCAAAGGCUUUUCCGGUGUCUACACCUUCUGCCACGUGACUGCCAUUCCUUCCACGGAGGCAGAAUACAUUCCCCACAGCACUAGCGCCCAGGUGAGUUGCCCCGGUUCAUGGAAACUGGGAAGACAGGAAGGAAGUGUGUUAAGGUCUGUACCUUAAGACACACUACACAUUACACCCUCUGCUCUCGAACUACUCCCCUGCCUUAGGCGUCCCCAUCUAUGGGUCCAAGGAGGGCGAGAGACAAAAGAAGCGGACUGAAGGAGCACCAAGCAGAGCAGAGUCCAGCCCGGAGCAGCAGAUGCCAAAUGACUCCCGGACACAGGAGCAGAUAUGAAUGAUUGUUAUUGAAGAUGCUAAGGUUUGAGGUAACUUGUCACAGAGUACUAAUAUGGCAACAAACUCUACUGAUAUCUUGUUUGCUGUUCUACUGCUGUUUCCCAAACCAUCUGGCUUACAUUUUUAGAAGCAUUAGAAUCUAAAGAAGAGAAUCUCAUCAAAAAGCAAGGAUUCUCCAAAAGUCAAUAUGCUCCAUGGGUGAAGUCAGACAAAAACUCAGCCACAGAGAUACACUGUGGAGAUAGGCACUGUUCCGACCUGGCUCUGCAAUGGAAAGGACAGAACCAGGAAAGUCCUGCCUAAGUUUGGGUUCAAAGUCAGCAUUUACACCACUUUAAAAAAUAAAAGGCCCUGGGAUGGUAGGACCCUGAAUACCUGGAGAAAUAAAACUCAAUUCCUUUCUCGAAGAAGGUCAUUUAAAAACCAAGAUUUAAAAACCUAUCCAGAGAUAAAAGUAUGAAGAACAUAAACCCCAACUUUAAAAGUAC